RNAcentral lists this ribosomal RNA (253 nucleotides) under uncultured bacterium. Its description in RNAcentral is "partial 16S ribosomal RNA". It matches the Rfam family "Bacterial small subunit ribosomal RNA", at positions 524 to 776 of the family's 1533-position model. The record is from RNAcentral.
AACGUAGGUACCGAGCGUUAUCCGGAUUUACUGGGCGUAAAGCGUGUUCAGGCGGCCUGGCAAGUCGGGCAUGAAAUCUCUCGGCUCAACCGAGAGAGGCUGUCCGAUACUGCUGGGCUUGAGGACGGUAGAGGGUGGUGGAAUUCCGCGUGUAGUGGUGAAAUGCGUAGAUAUGCGGAGGAACACCAGUGGCGAAGGCGGCCACCUGGACCGUCCCUGACACUGAUGCGCGACAGCAUGGGGAGCAAACAGG